AUGGUCUUAGCUUGCUAAGGCCGAUGGCGACCGGCGCACGGGUGAGUAACACGUAUCCAACCUGCCGUCUACUCUUGGACAGCCUUCUGAAAGGAAGAUUAAUACAAGAUGGCAUCAUGAGUCCGCAUGUUCACAUGAUUAAAGGUAUUCCGGUAGACGAUGGGGAUGCGUUCCAUUAGAUAGUAGGCGGGGUAACGGCCCACCUAGUCUUCGAUGGAUAGGGGUUCUGAGAGGAAGGUCCCCCACAUUGGAACUGAGACACGGUCCAAACUCCUACGGGAGGCAGCAGUGGGGAAUAUUGGUCAAUGGGCGAGAGCCUGAACCAGCCAAGUAGCGUGAAGGAUGACUGCCCUAUGGGUUGUAAACUUCUUUUAUAAAGGAAUAAAGUCGGGUAUGGAUACCCGUUUGCAUGUACUUUAUGAAUAAGGAUCGGCUAACUCCGUG
RNAcentral lists this ribosomal RNA (444 nucleotides) under uncultured bacterium. RNAcentral's name for it is "bacterial SSU rRNA". It matches the Rfam family "Bacterial small subunit ribosomal RNA", at positions 69 to 507 of the family's 1533-position model. The record is from RNAcentral.